Molecule: long non-coding RNA, 2147 nt
Organism: Crotalus tigris (Tiger rattlesnake)
Lineage: Eukaryota; Metazoa; Chordata; Lepidosauria; Squamata; Viperidae
Exons: 4
Source: RefSeq, a predicted model, not a curated record
CACCAACCUAAGAUUGAAAGAACAUUAUUAUACUAUGUAAACUUUAGCUGUUUUGAAUAAGGAACUCCAGCCUGGGACCAAAUAGAAGAUGACUAACUUCUUGAUAGCAUGGAAAGCUACAUCAUGCUGAUGAGUCCAAUGACAUAUGACUUCUUCAUCCAGUAAUUUAUGAAGAUGCUGAAAAGCACCGGGCCCAAGACAGAAGCUUGAGAUACUCCUCAAAGAGUACAUACUCACAGAGUAUAGUAUACACUUAAGUAUACUACAGAUAGCAAAGAAAACAUACAGAUGGAUCAUUGAGCAAAUCAAUCCAGAGAUACAGCAACAAAUCAUCAGUGGUUACAGAAGCUGUUAAAACUUCCUGCAAUUUUCCAAGGCAGAUUGACAAGUGACCAAAACAGCACAUCUGGAGGCAUAUCAUUUAUCAUCAGUAUUACUAGCUCCAGUGCUCCUGAGAACAAUGCCAGUGUACAGCUCCAGAACUCCUUCAGAAUUGUGCAAUCUAUUCAUGUCUUCCCUAUUCACAUUUCUCAUAAUUUCUCCCUCUACUGCUCUUAAGCUUUUCAGGUAUCCCUGAUACUUUUUCCCCCCUUGCUCCAAGUGAAAAACAUUUAUUUUGCUUGGAGAUAACCCUAACUUAGAGUUUCUUGCUCAGUAUCAGAAGGGUGGUGUCAACCAUAUUCAUGGGUUAAUUAGAGUCCAUGGAACCAGAACUGAACUCGGAGAAUAUUUUCCUGAUUAGUUUUGGUACUCCUAGAUGUUAUUUAUUCCUGGGGCAAUUGUGUUAAAUAUAAUGUGGAAUUAAGGCCUUGCAUUUUUAGUACUUCAUCUGGGGGCAGGGUGGAACCAGAUACAUUAAAAAAAACAAUAUAAAAUUGCUAUGAUUAUGUGACUUAAAUUAUACUUGUUUUUACAUACCUUGCAUGCAUAAAAAAACAGGCAGACCUGACAUUACACAGUCAUGGCCACUAUCUUCAUUUUUUUUUUAAUCAGAUACUGCAGACACCCCUAGAUCCAUCUUUACAGCAACUUCAAUAUUCGUGAUUAAUGCAGGUUUCUAUAUAUCUAUCAUUGAGAUAGGCAUCAUUUUAUUACAUUAUAUUAGAGGCUUGCAAACAUUCCCUUUCUUCAAACCACUAUAUAAUUAUCAAAGGCUUUUAAGAAUGACCACAUAUGCAGGGUCAGCACUGGGAUACUUCCAGGCACCACCAGGCAUUUCUGUACAACUUCAAAUACCUACCAAGACUCCCAAAUAAAAUUAAAAUAAUAUUUAUAGAUUGUUUUAAUAUAAUCUACCCACACACCCAUCACACACCAGAUUUUGGCAUAAAUAUACAGUAGGUAUCCUUUUGGUGGUGCAAUGCUAGAGAAAGAGGCAAAAAUGAAUGUAAUUUUCAUGGAAAUUAAAGACUUAAAUAAAAUUUAUCAACUAAAUACUCAUAGAAUUUAAUACAAAAAGCUGGAAUACUUGUACUAUUCCACAUAGACAUUCCCAAAAGAUUCACUCUUUUCUUUUAUUUCAUGCCUUUAAUUUGUUUUGCUUUCUAUUUCUGACUUCUUUUCUGCACAUUAUUUUUCUACACAUUAUUUUGUGUAAUGUUGCUUAUGGAAAAGAGAAUAUUGUGAGGAUGAAGAUGUCAACAGUGACAGCAAAGUAGAGAUUGACAAGGGAAGUGAAUGGGAGACAUAUAUUUCCCUUUUCUUUUUGCUCCCCUUUCUUUCAGUCCAAUUUAUUCCUCAACCAGGGAAACAGCUUGUGAAAGAACACAGGCACAGUAAAGAAACAGAAAGAUUGCCACAGAUGCUUUUGCUAAGAAAUGUAGCAAGGAAAGGUCCAAAAACAUGGAGAGCAAGGUAGGCAUCACCAUGACCUGCAAAAUGUGUACAAUGUUUGUCUGCUCUUAAAAGGAGCCAACUAUAACUGCUUCAAAUGUAGGAUAGUCCUUUCUUUUCUUCAUUGAGAAAGCAUGAAGUGCUGCAUUGAAAUGAAUCCAGAAAAGACAAGAGUGUUGUGGAGAAGACAGCCAACCUCUGCAAGAAGACAGAGAAGUGAAGAGAAUUCCAAUCUUUCUCCUCUCCUUCAGCAAAGACAAGCAGGAAGAUAAGAGUCAAUUGUUAACAGUGGAACUCAGGAACCAGAAUCUCCU